ACGUAGGUAGUAGAUAUAUGGAGUAGCUCGAGGUACGUGGUACUAGUAGUAGUAGAAGUAGUAGUAGUUGUUGUUCUUGUAGUUGUAGUUGUAGUUGUAGCAGUUGUGGUAUGUAUGUGUGAUACGAAAUUCUUUAGAAUGAAGUGAGAAAAGGAGAAAAAAAAAAGAAAAAGAAAAAGAAAUGAAAGCAAGAAAGGAUUUUGUGACCAUAAAGAACGGACGGAAAAACAGGAGGAGGAGCUGAAUAGUUCGAGGGGGAAGAAAGGAUUUGAAAAUGAGGAUAACAUAAACUUUAGAUUAAAAAAUGAGAAGAAAAAAAAAACAGUUUUACACACGAUCACAUCACAUUUAAAAAAAAAAAAAAAAAAAAGGAAGAAAACAGAUAGAAAACAGCCCAAACCCAACC
This 406-nucleotide small RNA is filed under the name Histoplasma capsulatum var. duboisii H88. RNAcentral's name for it is "Histoplasma capsulatum H88 hypothetical RNA". The record is from RNAcentral. Lineage: Eukaryota; Fungi; Ascomycota; Eurotiomycetes; Onygenales; Ajellomycetaceae.